UCAACCAUCAAGCCUGGCUUGUUAUUGGACCCCUUUGCAGCUGAAAUACGCGGCAGGUCCGAAAGAUAAUGACGGCGUCGUGUUUGACCCUAGAUGCAACGAGCUUUUCAUAGCACGCAUUGAAGUGGUCGGCCGACCCGAUCUUUAACCAUUAUUUUCUAA
This 162-nucleotide unclassified non-coding RNA is filed under the name uncultured Ascomycota. RNAcentral describes it as "sequence contains ITS2". Lineage: Eukaryota; Fungi; Ascomycota. The record is from RNAcentral.